RNAcentral lists this transfer RNA (74 nucleotides) under bacterium. Its description in RNAcentral is "tRNA-Gln". It matches the Rfam family "tRNA". Rfam says of the family: Transfer RNA (tRNA) molecules are approximately 80 nucleotides in length. Their secondary structure includes four short double-helical elements and three loops (D, anti-codon, and T loops). The record is from RNAcentral.
UGGGGGAUCGUCUAGUGGUAGGACGGAGGAAUUUGGAUCCUUUAACCUAGGUUCGAAUCCUAGUCCCCCAACCA